UUAAAGGUUACUCCCUUGUUCGUUACAGCCUUCAUCUUAUUUUAUUAAAGGUUACUCCCUUGUUCGUUAUAGCCUUCAUCUUAUUAUAUUAAAGGUUACUCCCUUGUUCGUUAUAGCCUUCAUCUUAUUAUAUUAAAGGUUACUCCCUUCUUCGUUAUAGCCUUCAUCUUAUUAUAUUAAAGGUUACUCCCUUGUUCGUUAUAGCCUUCAUCUUAUUAUAUUAAAGGUUACUCCCUUGUUCGUUAUAGCCUUCAUCUUAUUAUAUUAAAGGUUACUCCCUUCUUCGUUAUAGCCUUCAUCUUAUUAUAUUAAAGGUUACUCCCUGUUUUGUUCUUCGCUCAUUUUCCGUUUUUUCCACUGCAAGUGUGCAUAUUUAUUUAUUUAUUUAUUUAUUUUCAUUUGUUUAUUUAAUGUUAUUUGUAGUAGAUAACUGAGGGGGGCACUACCCUGGCCUCCUCUUCCUCUGAUUCUCUUACUUCACACAUUUAUCUUAAUACUUCACACUAUUGUCCAUAUGCUUCAUUUUUUUUUUUUUUAUUCAUGACUUUUUAUCCAUACCUCACACUUUUCUUAGUAUUUCACAUUUUUUCUAGAUCAUACACUUCCUACCUGGGGGACGCGGGUUAGGCCUUUAUAAAGUCACUCUAUGGCUGCAUGCCCGCCGCGGCACACCACCACCCUGUGAGGCGUAGAGCCCCGUGCUCCCCUCCAUCCUGGGGUAACAAUCCUAAAACAAACAAACCUGAGAGGCAGGACGCUGCCGCUGCCUGUCACCUGACACCAUCUCACUGAGGAGUGGAUCACGGCGCCGGUGGAGAGAGACUGCCCAUCCCUCUCCACUCCGCCCGGGAAGGAACUCAUGAAUUCUCGGUUGAGUCGCGUGUGCUACCCAUUACACUACAGAACAACAGUGGUUGGCCAGAGUUUCCAUUACCAUAUCGUCAAAGUCCAUGUCCUCCGGAAGAACCAUUAAUUAUAUAAUUAAAUCGUCACUAUUAUUUCCGCCACUUAAAACGAGCAAAGCUUAAUGAAAAUAAGAGGCGUUUUCUCGUCAGAGUAAAUUAAACAAAAGCACUGUAAGCACAUGUCCCUAUUUAUCCCUAUACCGCUGCCGCCAGUUUUAGACCCUUCUUUUCUUGUAUUAAAUCAACUCUUUUAUCACUCAUUAAUUACUCCAUAAAUGAUUUCACCGUCUCGUAUCCCUGGUAGCGUGAUCCGGCUUAAGUUGUUAUUGGAGACUGGUGUUCGGGGAUAAACAAGGGAAAAAGUAAAUAUACAUUUAUUUAAAAUUAAAUGAAAGUAAUUGCCUUACGCAAUAUUCUAUGCUCAGACGAUCAUAACACUGGCAUAUUCAGCAAUGGAUGCAACAUUUGACAAACGACAUGUCUUAAACAUAAUACUACAAUAUGUGCUCAGUUGUUGCCAAUAAUAAUAACACUCGUCGUUCCACAAGCAGUGGUUUGUAUCUCUCUGCUUACAUCACAAUCAUUAUGUACUCUCUUCACAAAAUCCUAAUAACACAUUCCUAUAGUAUAAUCUACUACAAGUCAUGGAAACACAU
This is a long non-coding RNA of Eriocheir sinensis (Chinese mitten crab), 1561 nucleotides long. RefSeq lists it as uncharacterized. NCBI's taxonomy places the organism in Eukaryota, Metazoa, Arthropoda, Malacostraca, Decapoda, Varunidae. The transcript is spliced from 3 exons. The record is from RefSeq and is a predicted model, not a curated record.